AACAAGGCGUACCUGCGGACCUGCGGAGGGAUCAUCAUCGAAUUCAUAUCCUUCUCCGACCGGAGGAGGACCUAUGAUAAACCCUUAUGUGCACCGUAAACCGUUCACUUUGGCAGGCUUUGGUGGUGAGCGUGAGCUCGUCAACCUCGCGUUCCCUCCCUAGGGGGGUUGCGCGUGGCGGCCUGCCGGAGUCCUUCAAUGAAAAACACGUUUUCGAACACGACUGAAAUUUCCUUUGAG
Molecule: unclassified non-coding RNA, 240 nt
Filed under: soil metagenome
Description: partial contains 5.8S ribosomal RNA, internal transcribed spacer 2, and large subunit ribosomal RNA
Source: RNAcentral